AUUGAACGCUGGCGGCAUGCCUUACACAUGCAAGUCGAACGGCAGCACGGGUGCUUGCACCUGGUGGCGAGUGGCGAACGGGUGAGUAAAGUAUCGGAACGUGCCUGGUAGUGGGGGAUAACUAGUCGAAAGACUAGCUAAUACCGCAUACGAUCUAAGGAUGAAAGCAGGGGACCUUCGGGCCUUGUGCUAUCAGAGCGGCCGAUAUCUGAUUAGCUAGUUGGUGGGGUAAAAGCCCACCAAGGCGACGAUCAGUAGCUGGUCUGAGAGGACGACCAGCCACACUGGAACUGAGACACGGUCCAGACUCCUACGGGAGGCAGCAGUGGGGAAUUUUGGACAAUGGGGGCAACCCUGAUCCAGCAAUGCCGCGUGAGUGAAGAAGGCCCUCGGGUUGUAAAGCUCUUUUGUCAGGGAAGAAAAGGCUGUGGCUAAUAUCCACAGCUGCUGACGGUACCUGAAGAAUAAGCACCGGCUAACUACGUGCCAGCAGCCGCCGCCG
This 502-nucleotide ribosomal RNA is filed under the name uncultured bacterium. Its description in RNAcentral is "partial 16S ribosomal RNA". It matches the Rfam family "Bacterial small subunit ribosomal RNA", at positions 30 to 523 of the family's 1533-position model. The record is from RNAcentral.